Polypterus senegalus (gray bichir) is the source of this 958-nucleotide long non-coding RNA. RefSeq lists it as uncharacterized. The record is from RefSeq and is a predicted model, not a curated record. The transcript is spliced from 3 exons. NCBI's taxonomy places the organism in Eukaryota, Metazoa, Chordata, Cladistia, Polypteriformes, Polypteridae.
UUUAGACAAACAACGUCGUGGACGCAGGUGCAUCGCAGCUCCGGACAUCUUGUCCACUUUAAACGCUGCUUAUGGAUCACAAUGUGUACGUCACAAGAGGCCACCCAGGCCAAAGCGCUGGACAGAAGUACGAGGCUACGUCUCGAGUCAGCCCCGAACGGCACUUCAGUGAACCCAAACAGAAAGGGAGGCGUGGUGCUACAGAGCCUGGCGUUGAGACUCGAGACAAAAGUGAAAUGCAAUGUGGCUGAUGCAGUGACUUACUGAGAAUCACCCAAGGCCUCCGUGCAGGGGAGUGAAGCAACCUUGGCAACCUUCAAAUUGCAUUCAGUGCCAUUCUGUGAGGAAUACCAUCUUCAGUCUCUUACAGGUAACAGACCAUCCACGGGAAAUCCCGCUCGCUUUCCGGCCCCAGUGACGACGUUUACUUCUGGUCCUGAUGACAUCACUUCCUGUUCCACUCCCGAUGACAUCACUGUUGAUUUUUCAGCCUGAUUGAUGACAUCACUUCCGGUUCCUGGGCCACUGAUGACGCCACUUCCGGUCCUGAUGACGUGACUUCCUGUCUCAGCCUUUCAAACCUUACAAUCAGUUCUGGUUUGGACUCAGACCUGUGAAUGACCCUUUUGCAGCCAGGGCACGAUAUACUGGUGGCUGCUGCCCCAAACCUUCUUUGGUGUCAUUUGACUAUUAUUGUGACAUCAUCUCAACAUCAAAUUUUUGGUCAAUGACAAUACUUUCGCUACACAUUGUAUACGAGAAAGUAAAAAACAAGGAAAUGAACUUUUAGCCAACCUUUUAGCCCGUCGCCUUGGUUACUCUUCAGGUCGUAACCUUAGAGGCCACGCCCCUAGAAACAUGGUCAGCUGUCUUAAUGACGGAUGUCCAAGAAAGCGACGACAGCUAAGAAAACUAAAUGGCAGCCAAAGAAAUGAAACAAUAGUUAAAAUGCAGGACC